CUUUAUCGGAGAGUUUGAUCCUGGCUCAGGACGAACGCUGGCGGCGUGCCUAAUACAUGCAAGUCGAGCGGACAGAUGGGAGCUUGCUCCCUGAUGUUAGCGGCGGACGGGUGAGUAACACGUGGGUAACCUGCCUGUAAGACUGGGAUAACUCCGGGAAACCGGGGCUAAUACCGGAUGGUUGUUUGAACCGCAUGGUUCAAACAUAAAAGGUGGCUUCGGCUACCACUUACAGAUGGACCCGCGGCGCAUUAGCUAGUU
This 261-nucleotide ribosomal RNA is filed under the name Bacillus subtilis. Its description in RNAcentral is "16S rRNA. Bacterial SSU". It matches the Rfam family "Bacterial small subunit ribosomal RNA", at positions 1 to 250 of the family's 1533-position model. The record is from RNAcentral. Lineage: Bacteria; Bacillati; Bacillota; Bacilli; Caryophanales; Bacillaceae.